This 310-nucleotide unclassified non-coding RNA is filed under the name Hevea brasiliensis (rubber tree). Lineage: Eukaryota; Viridiplantae; Streptophyta; Magnoliopsida; Malpighiales; Euphorbiaceae. The record is from RNAcentral.
GCUAAAAUCCUUGAAGAGAAUCCCCAUGUCCCUUUGGUCAUCAAGAAUCUUGGAAAUGCUACCGCCAUUUAUAUGAAAGUUGGGAGAUGCCGAACUAGCUAGAAUUUGUAAAAGUGGCCGUAAUUCGUGGGUUGCCACAGGGACCUCGCCAAUUUCUGCAUCAAUAGAAGCAUCUAGUGCAAGCCUAUCAAGACUGGGGCUCUCAGUUGCAGAAUCAGGAACUGAAUCGAUAUUUUUGGCCAUAGAUGCAUCACCAUUUAGAUCAUUAUUAUUAGUACUACCAUCUUUCAAAUUACUGUCUGGAUUCUGU